Long non-coding RNA from Bos taurus (domestic cattle), 1210 nucleotides. NCBI's taxonomy places the organism in Eukaryota, Metazoa, Chordata, Mammalia, Artiodactyla, Bovidae. The record is from Ensembl.
CAACCAUCUCAUCCUCUGUUGUCCUCUUCUCCACUUGUCCUCAGUCUUUCCCAGCCUCAGGGUCUUUUCCAAUGAGUCCUGGAAAAACCGCGAGUGAGUUUGAAAGCUCCCCAUGGAGGAAGCCCUUUCUGAAGCAGCACUUUUGUGGUCCGCAUUCCCAUGAAGCUGCCCGAGAAGGAGGUGCCUUGGUGCCGAUCGCUGGAGGCUGGGUUGAGCCCGACGACGCGGUCCAUCCCGGUCCUUGUGAGCCUUUGUUCCUCUGCAGCGAGAGAUUGCUACAGCCUAGGCUUUGACUCACUCAAGCUCAUCUCCUUCCCCUGUGUCUCCAGGCUCUUUCUUCUUGGAGCCUCAGCCUUGACUGGGAGCCUGGAGUUCUGCUGACGACUGCGUCUUUAUGCCUUUGAGGCCCCAAGGCUGGGGAAUUUCCUCAUAUAUCAUGCUUGCUUGUUAAAUGAAUGGAUGGAUGGAUUAGUAGAUGAAUGUCCAAGUGGAUGGAUGAUGGAUCAGUGGGUGGAUGGUUGGGUGAAUGAAUAGAUAGAUGCGUGGUGAAUGGAUAUGUAGAUGGAUGGAUGGCAAAUGGACAGAUGGGUGGAUGGAUGGUUAGAUGGAUUUGUGGAUGGAUGUGUAAGUGAAUGGAUGAUGAAUGGAUGGAUGGAUGAAUGGUUGGAUAAAUAGAUGAAUGGAUGAUGAGUGGUUGGGUGGGUGGAUGGAUGGUUAGAUGGAUUUGUGGAUGGGUGCAUAAGUGAAUGGAUGGAUGAAUGCAUGGAUAAAUAGACGAAUGGAUGGCGAGUGGUUGGGUAGGUGGAUGGAUGGAUGGUUAGAGGCUUAGAUGGAUUUGUGGAUGGGUGCGUAAGUGAAUGGAUGAGGAAUGAAUGGAUAAAUAGAUGAGUGGAUGGCGAGUGGUUGGGUGUGUGGAUGGUGGCUCAUUCCAAUGGCACAAGCCUCUCGCCUCAUUUUCCAAAGUUUUCCUCUCUGAGGUUUUCACCAGGCUCCAUCCGCCUUGAACAGGCAGCUGGCCAUGUCACCUUGGCAGUCUGGGCCAUUCGUCUGCUUGAAUAGCUGUUCGGACCCAUGGAGUCUCCAGCUGGCCUUGUUGAUCCCUUGCUGUACUUCCAGAUUCACUAACAUUUGGGUCUCGGGGUCUAGCUUGGCCAACAGUACCCUGCCCAGCCCUCAUUAAUGAGGCCACAGUGCAACCAUCCACCACAGC